GUCGAUCAUGUGAUGACAGAAAACAGGAACUCCUGUCUCGCGCUUCAUCAGCAGAAUGUCAACAUUUGGGAAGUAGUUCUAGUGAAAGGAACUUCAGAGCUUUGACACAAAAUCACUGCUGAACCAAGUGACAAUGGCAAAGAGGGAGAAAUGAGGCUGGGUCACAGCAUGCACUUGCAGAUAUGGGGUCCAUCUUCCUGCUCUGUGCCGUGUGUUUGUACAGAAAACCACACAGAUAUGCGGACACAUGCGAGCGCACAGAGCUCUUCUUUGUUGUGUUAUCUUGAAAGCUUGGCUUGUGGGGAAAGAUGACCGGAAAAAAAGCAAGCAGCUCUUCUCACAAACUGAUAAGAGACAUUUAAAGAAGAAGAGGAAAAUCAAUCUCUUUGUGUUCUCCUUCUUCUCCUCUAAUCCUGGUGCCAUGGACCAACCUCUGUUAGGACCAGCGUCCACCAGGCGCCGGGGCUGCUGCUCCUACAGCACCCUGAAGGCCUGGCUGCCCAUCCUGUCCUGGCUGCCCAAGUACAACCUGAAGUGGCUUCAGAUGGAUCUGCUGGCAGGCCUCACUGUUGGGUUGACAGCUGUACCACAAGUGCUUGCUUAUGCUGAAAUAGCCGGCCUUCCUGUGCAGUUUGGACUCUACUCUGCCUUCAUGGGGGGGUUCAUCUACAGCCUCCUGGGGACUUCUAAGGACAUAACACUGGGUCCCACAGCGAUUAUGUCCCUGCUGUGUUUCUCAGUGGUGGGUGGGCACCCAAACCAAGCCGUGCUGCUCAGUCUCCUAUGUGGACUCAUCCAGGCGGCUAUGGCGUUACUGAGAUUAGGUUUCCUGCUGGACUUCAUCUCUUACCCUGUAAUAAAAGGCUUCACCUGUGCCGCUGCCAUUACCAUUGGCUUUGGUCAGAUUAAGAAUAUUCUAGGACUGAAGGGUAUUCCCCAAGAGUUCUUCCAGCAGGUGUACUACACCUUCCACAAGAUUCCAGAGGCCAGGACGGGUGACGUGGUGCUGGGCCUGCUCUGUCUUGCUCUGCUCAUCAUGUUGUUGUUUAUGAAGAAGAAUCUGAGCCCUGCUGACCCUGACGACUCCACCUGCUCCAGAGUCGCCAGGAAACUAGUGUGGGCUGUCUCUACCAUGCGUAACGCCCUGGUGGUCAUGGCUGCGUCAUGUGUGGCUUAUUCGUGGGAUGCUUAUGGUUACAAUGUGUUCACAAUAACUGGGGAAACUUCCCGGGGGCUCCCUCCAUUCAGGCCUCCACCCACCACAGACACCACGGCCAACGGCACCGUCAUCUCCUUUGGAGAGAUUAUUGAGGGUUUUGGAGGAGGUCUGGCUGUGAUCCCCUUCAUGGGUCUGCUGGAGAGUAUUGCUAUAGCCAAAGCUUUUGCCAGUCAGAACGACUACAGAAUAGAUGCCAACCAGGAGCUGCUGGCCAUCGGUGUGACCAACAUCAUGGGCUCCUUUGUGUCCGCAUACCCUGUCACCGGCAGCUUUGGGAGGACAGCUGUGAACUCUCAGACUGGUGUUUGCUCUCCGGCUGGAGGAAUUGUCACAAGUCUGAUUGUGUUGCUCUCCCUGGCGUUCCUCAUGCAGGCCUUUUACUACAUCCCCAAAGCUUCUCUUGCUGCAGUUAUCAUCUGUGCAGUCGCUCCCAUGGUGGAUUAUCAUGUCGUAUUGAAGAUGUGGAGAAUACGCAAGCUGGACCUGCUGCCUUUUAUGGUCACGUUCCUGAUAAGUUUCUGGGAGGUGCAGUACGGCAUUGUUGGAGGUGUGGCUGUAUCAGGAGCCCUGCUGCUUUACAACAUGGCCAGACCCCAAAUAAAGUGUACCACACCGUGAUCCAGUACCCCAGAAUGCUCUCCACGGUGGCUCUGUAGAAGGCCAGAAGAAGCUUCUCCUCAGGAAGUGGAGUCGCUGCUGGGCCUUCUUUACCACCGCCGUGGUGUGAGCAGACCAGGAGACGUUGUCUGUGAUGUGGACGCCCAGGAAUUUGAAGGAGUGGACCCUUUCAACGCAGGCCCCAUUGAUGAUCAGUGGAGCCGGGUCCAUGCUGCGUUUUCGGAAGUCCAUGAUGAGUUCUUUUGUUUUUGUGGUGUUCAGUGAAAGGUUGUUCACAGAACACCACGCCGAAAGUUUUCCAACUUCAUCUCUGUAGGCCGACUCAUCUCCGCCUGAGAUGAGCCCGACCACGGUGGUAUCAUCAGCAAAUUUGAUGAUGGAGUUGGAGAGAUGGGUUGGUGUGCAGUCGUAUUUAUACAGAGAGUACAGGAGGGGACUCAGUUCACAUCCUUGCGGGGAGCCAGUGUUGAGUGUGAUGGUGGGGGAGAGGCGGGGGCCGAGUCUGAAAGUUUGUUGGCUGUCAGACAGGAAGUCCUUAACCCAACAGUAGAUGGAAGGGGAGAGACCAAGGUGGGAGAGCUUGCCAGUUAAAAUGUCCGGGAUUAUUGUAUUGAAGGCCGAGCUGUAAUCAACAAAAAGCAUCCUCACAUAAUUCCCCUGGUGUUCCAGGUGGCUGAGUGCAGUGUGAAGAGCUGCAGCGAUGGCAUCCUCAGUAGAGGGGUUUGCUCUAUAGGCGAACUGGUGGGGGUCCAGUGUGGCGGGAAGUGUGUCCUUGAUGUGGUUUGGGAUCAGCCUCUCAAAGCACUUCAUGAUCACAGGCGUAAGUGCGACAGGCCUGUAAUAAUUCAGACUGUCGAUGGCUGAUUUCUUGGGGACGGGAACAGUUGAAGAUAGAGGUGAAAACCCCGGUCAGCUGAUCCGCACAGGCUUUGAGUACCUUCCCAGGUACUCCAUCCGGGCCUGCAGCUUUCCUGGGGUUUACAGUCCUCAGUGCACGUCUCACUUCAUGUUCCUGAAGUAUCAGUGUGCUGCUACAGGAGGGUGGUUGAUGUGGUGUGACAAAAACAUGUGAACUAUGCCUUUAAGGUGUGUCAUUAGCAGUGGCAUUAACAUUUGACAUGUCAUUACUUAAAGAAGUUUGAAUGCAUCCAGAUGACUGAAUCGGGCUUCAGCCAGUCAGAGCUGCAAACUAAACACAGCGUGGAGGAGAAUUUAAAGAUUAUAUGCUGCCGCUCCUCGUUUUUAUAAUCCAAAACACACCAAACAGUUGACUGAUUACUUAUGACCUUCAUACAUCUGUGAUUGUCUGGGCAUUUUUCAGACUUAAUCUAAUCAGAAACUAACCUUGUAGGGUUGUUGUAAAUUAACGAGCACAAAUGUUUGAAUAGUUUGCCUAAAAUUUCCCCUCAAGUCCAUGAGGCUCAUUUUUUAGGUGAUUUAUUCCUCCAAAAAGAGCAUAGUCAAAUGGAGUGAGUAGCCCCGGCAGUGCAUUAAGAAUCAGGGAUAAAUGAUCAUUUAUCUAAAAGACUGAAGUCAACAAUCAGAGGGUUGAACGACAGCAGAGCCCUGAGGAGAAGUGGGUGAAAACACUAGUAACAGAGAUUUGCUUGUCAGACAUUGAAUCCUCAGUGAUAUCUAAUGGUGCUGAGUGCCUCGACUUCAUGUGUCUGUCGUUCUCAGGUGUCUGAUCACGGUGUGCUGGUGAUGGAGUUGGGCAGCGGACUCAGCUUUCCUGCCACAGAGUACCUCAGCCGCAUUGUGCACACUCAGGCUCUGCAGGCGUCUCCCCCGCGGUCGGUGGUCUUGGAUUGCCAUCACGUCAGCAUCAUCGAUUACUCGGUGAUCAGCGAGCUCAGGGACCUGCUGAGGCAGUUCAAACUACGAGAAGAGCAACUGAUCUUUUCCAGAGUGCGGCCCGCUGUUCUGGAUGCGCUCCUGGCCGCUGAUCUGGAGGGCUUCAGGUGCACACAAACUGUGGAGGAAGCACUGCAAAUUGAAUCGGGGAGCCUCCUCAAAGAGCAGUGACCUUGCCGUAUCGGGAUUAUUUGGCAGUCAUGAAGUUGAACAGUUAAUAAGUACCUCAAAUAACUGACUGUUGGACCCGUGUUGCAGCGAGUUGCCAAAUCAGGUCGCUCUUCCGUGGCAGGACGUGUUUUUGUGCCAAACUCGGGAACCUUUGUGGAACCUUUGACAUUCCAACACUACACAUCGUGAUCGCACAAAGACCCUGCACCAGAGGUCUGCUCCGUGUUUGUAGCAUUUUACAGGUUUUAUACACUUUGAGGGACUCGGUUUGAAUGACAAAGACAAUAACUAGAGAAAUUAUAUAACAAAUGUUCAUGUUUUUUUAAGUUAAAGUGACUUCCUUGUGUUGUGUUUUUGUGCUGCAGGUAAUAGGUUAGCUUCAAGAGACCAAAUCUGAAUACAAGGAAAAAGAACAGGGGUGAUAAAUAUUUCAUUAGUUCUUCAGGGAGGGCCUCACGCGGAGAAGGGUGUUAUUCAUUAGCAGAGAAUCAGUGUCAGAGUGCAGGCUGGUUCUCGAAUAAUACCAAUAUAAUAAAUCCAGAGGGUGUUUUAUUUAUGAUGUUUUAAGAUAUUAGGCUAUAUCUGUGUUUACAUUUUAAUUAAGUUAGAUCAAUGUGAAGAGAUUCAUUUCAACAGUUAGAGCGAGAACUCCUCACAGGCACGGCAUCAGUCACAAAGUAACUUGUUGGUUUUAUUAAACCAUUAAGAAUCUCAAUCAUAAGAUUUUCAAUACGAGCAACAAGUCAACAUAACAUCUGUCAGGAAUAAUGUUUCUGUCUUGUUACCACGCCUAGUGUAAAUGUACGAUGAUUCAAUCUGUUAUAUAGCAGCACAGUCUCAAAGCAAGGUGUCACUUUCAAAAUACCUCAGUUGACAUGCGUAUUCAUCAAUCUCUGACCCUGUAAUCCGUCAACUGUUUCUAGCUUUAAUAUUUAUUUACCAGGCUGUUGCACCUCUCAGAAAAGUAAACAGAUCAGAGACCUGUUCAAUUAAUCACUUAAAAAAGGAAAGGAACAAAUAUUUACAACAGCACACCUGAUUGGAAGAGUCAGAGGAUGAUUUUCUUUCUUCCCUCUUGUGCUAAACAAACACAACCAUGCAAUGAAGGAUAUAAAAACACUUCAGUUUGAUCUGUUCCUUUAAUUAUUUAAUUCUAAGUUUUUACAUAUGGAGCAUUUUCUUCCCCCCAGCCUUCAAAAUGUAUCUUGGGAAACUGACUUUGGUGUAAAUGCACUUUUAAAUAAGAUUUAUAAAUGCACUAAUUGGA
RNA transcript from Notolabrus celidotus (New Zealand spotty), 5129 nucleotides. It is a transcript of the gene named solute carrier family 26 member 11, with no coding region annotated. Lineage: Eukaryota; Metazoa; Chordata; Actinopteri; Labriformes; Labridae. The transcript has 15 exons. The record is from RefSeq and is a predicted model, not a curated record.